AUGUUAGCGGCGGACGGGUGAGUAACACGUGGAUAACCUACCUAUAAGACUGGGAUAACUUCGGGAAACCGGAGCUAAUACCGGAUAAUAUUUUGAACCGCAUGGUUCAAAAGUGAAAGACGGUCUUGCUGUCACUUAUAGAUGGAUCCGCGCUGCAUUAGCUAGUUGGUAAGGUAACGGCUUACCAAGGCAACGAUGCAUAGCCGACCUGAGAGGGUGAUCGGCCACACUGGAACUGAGACACGGUCCAGACUCCUACGGGAGGCAGCAGUAGGGAAUCUUCCGCAAUGGGCGAAAGCCUGACGGAGCAACGCCGCGUGAGUGAUGAAGGUCUUCGGAUCGUAAAACUCUGUUAUUAGGGAAGAACAUAUGUGUAAGUAACUGUGCACAUCUUGACGGUACCUAAUCAGAAAGCCACGGCUAACUACGUGCCAGCAGCCGCGGUAAUACGUAGGUGGCAAGCGUUAUCCGGAAUUAUUGGGCGUAAAGCGCGCGUAGGCGGUUUUUUAAGUCUGAUGUGAAAGCCCACGGCUCAACCGUGGAGGGUCAUUGGAAACUGGAAAACUUGAGUGCAGAAGAGGAAAGUGGAAUUCCAUGUGUAGCGGUGAAAUGCGCAGAGAUAUGGAGGAACACCAGUGGCGAAGGCGACUUUCUGGUCUGUAACUGACGCUGAUGUGCGAAAGCGUGGGGAUCAAACAGGAUUAGAUACCCUGGUAGUCCACGCCGUAAACGAUGAGUGCUAAGUGUUAGGGGGUUUCCGCCCCUUAGUGCUGCAGCUAACGCAUUAAGCACUCCGCCUGGGGAGUACGACCGCAAGGUUGAAACUCAAAGGAAUUGACGGGGACCCGCACAAGCGGUGGAGCAUGUGGUUUAAUUCGAAGCAAC
RNAcentral lists this ribosomal RNA (885 nucleotides) under Staphylococcus aureus. Its description in RNAcentral is "bacterial SSU rRNA". It matches the Rfam family "Bacterial small subunit ribosomal RNA", at positions 89 to 960 of the family's 1533-position model. Lineage: Bacteria; Bacillati; Bacillota; Bacilli; Caryophanales; Staphylococcaceae. The record is from RNAcentral.